RNAcentral lists this ribosomal RNA (253 nucleotides) under uncultured bacterium. Its description in RNAcentral is "partial 16S ribosomal RNA". It matches the Rfam family "Bacterial small subunit ribosomal RNA", at positions 524 to 776 of the family's 1533-position model. The record is from RNAcentral.
UACGUAGGGGGCUAGCGUUGUCCGGAAUCAUUGGGCGUAAAGAGCGUGUAGGCGGCUGGCUAAGUCCGCUCUGAAAGCCCGGGGCUCAACCCCGGGAGGCGGGUGGAUACUGGUCAGCUCGAGUCCGGAAGAGGAGUGUGGAAUUCCUGGUGUAGCGGUGAAAUGCGCAGAUAUCAGGAGGAACACCAAUGGCGAAGGCAGCACUCUGGGACGGUACUGACGCUGAGACGCGAAAGCGUGGGGAGCAAACAGG